RNAcentral lists this ribosomal RNA (324 nucleotides) under uncultured eukaryote. Its description in RNAcentral is "partial 18S ribosomal RNA". It matches the Rfam family "Eukaryotic small subunit ribosomal RNA", at positions 1470 to 1796 of the family's 1831-position model. The record is from RNAcentral.
CCCUUAGAUGUUCUGGGCCGCACGCGCGCUACACUGACGGAGUCAACGAGUUGUCCUGCAUCGGAAGGUGUGGGUAAUCUUUUGAAACUUCGUCGUGCUGGGGAUAGAUCUUUGCAAUUUUCGAUCUUGAACGAGGAAUUCCUAGUAAGCGUGAUUCAUCAGAUCGCGUUGAUUACGUCCCUGCCCUUUGUACACACCGCCCGUCGCUACUACCGAUUGAAUGGUUUAGUGAGGCCUCGGGACUGGCGCGCUCGAGUAGCAAUACACCUGCGCGCCGGGAACUUGGUCAAACUUGAUCAUUUAGAGGAAGUAAANGUCGUNACA